UACGUAGGGACCAAGCGUUAUUCGGAAUCAUUGGGCUUAAAGGGCGCGUAGGCGGCGAUAUAAGUUGGAAGUGAAAUCCCAUCGGCUCAACCGUGGAAUAGCUCCCAGUACUGUAUCGCUCGAGGGGGAUAGGGGUUUGCGGAACUACCGGUGGAGCGGUGAAAUGUGUUGAUAUCGGUGGGAACGCCAGUGGCGAAAGCGGCAAACUUGACCCUUCCUGACGCUGAGGCGCGAAAGCUAGGGGAGCAAACGGG
This 254-nucleotide ribosomal RNA is filed under the name uncultured bacterium. RNAcentral describes it as "partial 16S ribosomal RNA". It matches the Rfam family "Bacterial small subunit ribosomal RNA", at positions 524 to 776 of the family's 1533-position model. The record is from RNAcentral.